GCCCUCGUAGCUUAAUAAAUAAAGCACCGGUCUUGUAAACCGAAGACGGAGGUUAAAUUCCUCCCCAGAGCC
Molecule: transfer RNA, 72 nt
Filed under: Carnegiella strigata (marbled hatchetfish)
Lineage: Eukaryota; Metazoa; Chordata; Actinopteri; Characiformes; Gasteropelecidae
Description: tRNA-Thr
Rfam family: tRNA
About the family: Transfer RNA (tRNA) molecules are approximately 80 nucleotides in length. Their secondary structure includes four short double-helical elements and three loops (D, anti-codon, and T loops). Further hydrogen bonds mediate the characteristic L-shaped molecular structure. tRNAs have two regions of fundamental functional importance: the anti-codon, which is responsible for specific mRNA codon recognition, and the 3' end, to which the tRNAs corresponding amino acid is attached (by aminoacyl-tRNA synthetases). tRNAs cope with the degeneracy of the genetic code in two manners: having more than one tRNA (with a specific anti-codon) for a particular amino acid; and 'wobble' base-pairing, i.e. permitting non-standard base-pairing at the 3rd anti-codon position.
Source: RNAcentral